UAUAUUUCUAUACUGAUGAAGCUGUGAUAUAAAAAAUAGGUUACGUACAGUAUGUUUUGAAACCCUCCUGUCAUUCUCUCUGAUUGUGUAGUUAUACUGAUAUCUCUGAUUGUGUAGUGAUACUGAUAGAUAAAAAAUAGGUUAUGUACAGUACGUUUUCAAACCCUCCUGUUAUUCUCUCUGUUAUUCUGAUUGUGUACUGAUAUUGUUAUGUAAAUGAAGAUUAUUCUCUAUUUGGUUAUAUUCUUAAUGUAUACUGUAUCUCAUAUGAAGGUUACUUAUAUUUUUGAAAAUAAGUGUUCUGCAACAUGAAAAAGGUUUUCUUCAAAUAUAUAUUUUCUUAUAUUUAAUUUAUUAUAUUUUCCAUGAUUUUACGAAUUAUAUAUAUGUGUAUUUUAUGCAUCGGUAAUAUGUGUGGAUGUGUUAAAAAUGUGUUACCAAUGAUAUUUGUGUUUGGCAAGUGUUUUUAAUAUUUAUUUACCAUGUUAUUAAUUACUAUAUAUUUUGAUUUGGAAACAAAUAAAUUAUUUUAGCUACUUUUUUUCAUAUAAUUGAUUUUGUGUACAUUAAAAUAUUUUUAUAAAAGAUGUUUUCUGGAAACAAAAAAAAAAAAAGAGAUUUUGUUUAGUUCUUAAUUAUUUAUUAAAUAAUGUUUUUACUCCUGUUCCUUGGAUAUCAGGUUUGGUCAGUGUAUCAGUGUUGGCCAGUUGGGCAAGGUUAUAUUAUAUUUAAUAUAUGUUAGUCCUAAACCUUACUGGUGUACUGUUAGAAAUCAUAGGGUUAAAAAGAUUGUAUUCUUAUUGUCUAGUAGACUGAUAAUCCUUUAUUUUAUGAUUAAAAAUCUGUGUAGGGCUCAGUGCUGCGAGUUAGAAGUGAUUGUUUUGCUAAGGUUAAUGUUAUUGGCAAGGCUUUGGAGUUGGAUUUGAUUGGAGUGGGCUAGAGUCUAAUAAUAGUGAUCAUAUUUUAUUUUCAGUUAUUUUAGGAGCUGCGUCUCCAUGAAGGAUAUUAGUUUAUGUUUCAGAAUUGAGAUUUUUGAGAGAUUGAUUUAUGAUAUUAUGUGACUUUCUUUA
Molecule: long non-coding RNA, 1070 nt
Organism: Daucus carota subsp. sativus
Lineage: Eukaryota; Viridiplantae; Streptophyta; Magnoliopsida; Apiales; Apiaceae
Exons: 2
Source: RefSeq, a predicted model, not a curated record